GAGGAUAUAGCUCAGAGGUAGCGCAUGUGCUUAGCAUGCAUGAGGUCCUUGGUUCAAUCCCCAGUGCCUCCA
This 72-nucleotide transfer RNA is filed under the name Camelus bactrianus (Bactrian camel). It matches the Rfam family "tRNA". Rfam says of the family: Transfer RNA (tRNA) molecules are approximately 80 nucleotides in length. Their secondary structure includes four short double-helical elements and three loops (D, anti-codon, and T loops). Lineage: Eukaryota; Metazoa; Chordata; Mammalia; Artiodactyla; Camelidae. The record is from Rfam by way of RNAcentral. RNAcentral also lists the same sequence under 1 other name.